UUUCGCAAUGCCCGAAAGGGUGACGAAGCGACGCCGCGUGCGGGAAGAAGGCCUUCGGGUUGUAAACCGCUGUCGGGAGUUAAGAAACGUAAGGAUGUUAAUAGCAUCUUUGCUUGACUAAGGCUCCGGAGGAAGCCACGACUAACUCUGUGCCAGCAGCCGCGGUAAUACAGAGGCGGCAAGCGUUGUUCGGAAUUAUUGGGCGUAAAGAGCACGUAGGCGGCUAUGUAAGUCGGUUGUGAAAGCCUUCCGCUCAACGGGAGAACAGCAUCAGAUACUGCAUGGCUUGAGUGCGGGAGGGGAGAGUGGAACUUCUGGUGGAGCGGUGAAAUGCGUAGAUAUCAGAAGGAACGUCGGCGGCGAAAGCGACUCUCUGGCCUAUUACUGACACUGAGUGUGCGAAAGUUAGGGGAGCAAACGGGAUUAGAUACCCCGGUAGUCCUAACUGUAAACGAUGGGCACUAAGUAGAGGGGUUUUA
RNAcentral lists this ribosomal RNA (479 nucleotides) under uncultured anaerobic ammonium-oxidizing bacterium. RNAcentral describes it as "bacterial SSU rRNA". It matches the Rfam family "Bacterial small subunit ribosomal RNA", at positions 364 to 833 of the family's 1533-position model. The record is from RNAcentral.